UUGAGAAGCCCGCGGCCCAUCAGCUAGUUGGCGGGGUAACGGCCCACCAAGGCAAUGACGGGUAGCUGGUCUGAGAGGACGACCAGCCACACUGGAACUGAGACACGGUCCAGACACCUACGGGUGGCAGCAGUCGAGAAUUUUUCACAAUGGAUGAAAGUCUGAUGGAGCGACGCCGCGUGGAGGAUGAAGGUUUUCGGAUUGUAAACUCCUGUCACUGCAGAACAAGGAUGUGCCGGUUAACAGCCAGUGCAUUUGAUGGUAUGCGGAGAGGAAGGGACGGCUAACUCUGUGCCAGCAGCCGCGGUAAGACAGAGGUCCCGAGCGUUGUUCGGAUUCAUUGGGCGUGAAGGGUGUGUAGGAGGUCGGGUAAGUCAGGUGUGAAAUCUCAGAGCUUAACUCUGAAACUGCGCUUGAUACUGCCCGGCUAGAGGAUCGGAGGGGGUAACGGAAUUCAUGGUGUAGCAGUGAAAUGCGUAGAUAUCAUGAGGAACACCGGUGGCGAAGGCGGUUACCUGGAAGAUCCCUGACUCUGAAACACGAAAGCCAG
RNAcentral lists this ribosomal RNA (550 nucleotides) under uncultured Verrucomicrobiota bacterium. RNAcentral's name for it is "bacterial SSU rRNA". It matches the Rfam family "Bacterial small subunit ribosomal RNA", at positions 222 to 763 of the family's 1533-position model. Lineage: Bacteria; Pseudomonadati; Verrucomicrobiota. The record is from RNAcentral.